Molecule: long non-coding RNA, 291 nt
Filed under: Manihot esculenta (cassava)
Lineage: Eukaryota; Viridiplantae; Streptophyta; Magnoliopsida; Malpighiales; Euphorbiaceae
Description: long non-coding RNA (MESC_LNC000807)
Source: RNAcentral
GCAAUCACAAGACAGGAAAAGAAAGACAGAGUCUCUAUCUGUCGAAUGAUAUUGUUCACUGUUCAGUCCACUCAACCUGCUCCAACCUUGAGUGAAGAAACAGAGGAGCAAAUUGGCUUGGUAAGAUUUUUGGUCCUAGAAAGAAAGCUUUUUUUUCAUUGAGUGGAAGACUAGCCUUUCAAAGUACCACCACAUCAUUAAAUAAGAUUAUUCCACUAAGCCUGAGCAGGUAGCUAGCUAGCAUGUGCAGCCAAGAUCAAAGCUAAAAUUAAUUUCUGAACAUAGCCUGCG